Molecule: ribosomal RNA, 467 nt
Filed under: uncultured bacterium
Lineage: Bacteria
Description: partial 16S ribosomal RNA
Rfam family: Bacterial small subunit ribosomal RNA
Source: RNAcentral
GACGAACGCUGGCGGCGUGCUUAACACAUGCAAGUCGAACGGAAAGGCCCUGCUUUUGUGGGGUGCUCGAGUGGCGAACGGGUGAGUAACACGUGAGUAACCUGCCCUUGACUUUGGGAUAACUUCAGGAAACUGGGGCUAAUACCGGAUAGGAGCUCCUGCUGCAUGGUGGGGGUUGGAAAGUUUCGGCGGUUGGGGAUGGACUCGCGGCUUAUCAGCUUGUUGGUGGGGUAGUGGCUUACCAAGGCUUUGACGGGUAGCCGGCCUGAGAGGGUGACCGGCCACAUGGGGACUGAGAUACGGCCCAGACUCCUACGGGAGGAAGCAGGGGGGAAUAUUGCACAAGGGGCGGAAGCCGGAUGCAGCAACGCCGCGUGCGGGAUGACGGCCUUCGGGUUGUAAACCGCUUUCGCCUGGGACGAAGCGUGAGUGACGGUAAUGGGGAAAGAAGCACCGGCUAACUACGU